This is a long non-coding RNA of Zonotrichia leucophrys gambelii, 797 nucleotides long. RefSeq lists it as uncharacterized. NCBI's taxonomy places the organism in Eukaryota, Metazoa, Chordata, Aves, Passeriformes, Passerellidae. The transcript has 5 exons. The record is from RefSeq and is a predicted model, not a curated record.
UGCAGUUUGUGGGCUGUGCUGUGAAGACAGAGUAAGUGCUCUGAGGAGCAGCACAUGAGAAAUCACUGAGAAGGAAAAAGUACUGGAUGUUAAGUGUGGACUGUCUUCUCUUGCUUGGAUGAGAUAACUCCCAGGUUUAGACACAGAUUUAACAAGAAACCAAGAGUUUUAUCACAGUUUCCUUGGAGUUAAAGCCAUUUGCAAAGCAUCCAGCAUUUUCUCACUGGAGUGCAGAUGGGGCUGGAAACAGACAUUGCCAUCAGCUUAGUCCCCACAGCUGUACUUGCCUAACAGAGACUUUGCUCAGGUGUACAAACUGAUGCCUGCAGCCUCCAGAUCGAAGGGAUUAAAUGACUUACUAACCUCAUAUUCUCUUUCUGGCUGAGGGAUAUGAAAGAAUUUUCCUUGGGAAAGGGAGAAUACAACCCUGAGUCACAAGAAGGUGAAGAUUGGAAAGGACCUUCUUGUCCAGCCUGUUCAAGCUGGCCCACCUGCAGCUAGUCAUCCAGGAUCUUGUGUAGAGGGCUCUUUUUGACUUGAAAAGGUGUUGAAAAUGUACAAACUUAAAGACAAGUCCUGGCACAGGCACCUGUUAUCCAGCAUAAUUGUAGCUGAAAUGGAAAUAGUCCCAUAAACCGCAGGAGGUGGACCAAAAUCUCUCUGCUUCCCGUGCAUUUUGGCAUGAUGCAAAGCUACAUGUAUAAACACACAGGGAGUAUUUUUUGAGAGAUGAUUUUAACUGAAAAGAAAACACGUGCAGGAUGCUUUCAAAGACUUAAUCCAUCUUAAUAAGUAGA